GCGGAUGUGGCGAAGUUGGUUGAAACGCACUGGACUUAAAAUCCAGUACCCAAGUGGUAAACAUCGUGGGCUCGAAUCCCACCGUCCGCACCA
This 93-nucleotide transfer RNA is filed under the name Methyloprofundus sp. RNAcentral's name for it is "tRNA-Leu". It matches the Rfam family "tRNA". From Rfam's summary of the family: Transfer RNA (tRNA) molecules are approximately 80 nucleotides in length. Their secondary structure includes four short double-helical elements and three loops (D, anti-codon, and T loops). Further hydrogen bonds mediate the characteristic L-shaped molecular structure. tRNAs have two regions of fundamental functional importance: the anti-codon, which is responsible for specific mRNA codon recognition, and the 3' end, to which the tRNAs corresponding amino acid is attached (by aminoacyl-tRNA synthetases). tRNAs cope with the degeneracy of the genetic code in two manners: having more than one tRNA (with a specific anti-codon) for a particular amino acid; and 'wobble' base-pairing, i.e. permitting non-standard base-pairing at the 3rd anti-codon position. Lineage: Bacteria; Pseudomonadati; Pseudomonadota; Gammaproteobacteria; Methylococcales; Methylococcaceae. The record is from RNAcentral.